Molecule: ribosomal RNA, 252 nt
Filed under: uncultured bacterium
Lineage: Bacteria
Description: partial 16S ribosomal RNA
Rfam family: Bacterial small subunit ribosomal RNA
Source: RNAcentral
UACGGGGGGUGCGAGCGUUGUCCGGAUUCACUGGGCGUAAAGGGCGCGUAGGCGGCUUGUUCAGUCCGGUCUUUAAGAGCGGGGCUCACCCCCGUGGUGGACCGGGGACGGAUGAGCUGGGGCGCGGCAGAGGGGGACGGAAUGCCGGGUGUAGUGGUGAAAUGCGUAGAGAUCCGGCGGAACACCGGUGGUGAAGACGGUCCCCUGGGCCGAGGCCGACGCUGAGGCGCGAGAGCGCGGGGAGCGAACCGG